Molecule: transfer RNA, 84 nt
Filed under: Parcubacteria group bacterium GW2011_GWA2_38_13b
Lineage: Bacteria
Also listed under: 1 other name
Description: tRNA-Leu
Rfam family: tRNA
About the family: Transfer RNA (tRNA) molecules are approximately 80 nucleotides in length. Their secondary structure includes four short double-helical elements and three loops (D, anti-codon, and T loops).
Source: RNAcentral
GCUCGGGUGGCGGAAUUGGUAUACGCAACAGGCUGAGGACCUGUGCCAUUUUAUGGCGUGCGGGUUCAAGUCCCGCCCCGAGCA